UACGGAGGGUGCGAGCGUUGUCCGGAAUCACUGGGCGUAAAGGGCGCGUAGGCGGCGCGGGUAGUCAUCGGUGAAAGUUCAGGGCUCAACUCUGAAUCGGCCGGUGAUACUCCCGUGCUCGAGCACUGUAGAGGCAGGUGGAAUUCCGGGUGUAGCGGUGGAAUGCGUAGAGAUCCGGAAGAACACCAGUGGCGAAGGCGGCCAACUGGUCCACUACUGACGCUGAGGUGCGAAAGCGUGGGGAGCAAACAGG
RNAcentral lists this ribosomal RNA (253 nucleotides) under uncultured bacterium. RNAcentral's name for it is "partial 16S ribosomal RNA". It matches the Rfam family "Bacterial small subunit ribosomal RNA", at positions 524 to 776 of the family's 1533-position model. The record is from RNAcentral.